UACGGGGGGGGCAAGCGUUGUUCGGAAUUACUGGGCGUAAAGGGCUCGUAGGCGGCCAACUAAGUCAGACGUGAAAUCCCUCGGCUUAACCGGGGAACUGCGUCUGAUACUGGAUGGCUUGAGAUUGGGAGAGGGAUGCGGAAUUCCAGGUGUAGCGGUGAAAUGCGUAGAUAUCUGGAGGAACACCGGUGGCGAAGGCGGCAUCCUGGACCAACACUGACGCUGAGGAGCGAAAGCCAGUGGAGCAAACGGG
This 253-nucleotide ribosomal RNA is filed under the name uncultured bacterium. RNAcentral describes it as "partial 16S ribosomal RNA". It matches the Rfam family "Bacterial small subunit ribosomal RNA", at positions 524 to 776 of the family's 1533-position model. The record is from RNAcentral.